RNAcentral lists this transfer RNA (86 nucleotides) under Mycolicibacterium confluentis. RNAcentral's name for it is "tRNA-Gly". The record is from RNAcentral. Lineage: Bacteria; Bacillati; Actinomycetota; Actinomycetes; Mycobacteriales; Mycobacteriaceae.
CUCGGCGGUGGCGUGGGUGUCCUGGAAGCCACCCGGGCCGGUGCACGCGUUGGCGCCGCCGGAGUUCAGGAUCACCGCGCGAAGGC